This 399-nucleotide ribosomal RNA is filed under the name uncultured bacterium. Its description in RNAcentral is "bacterial SSU rRNA". It matches the Rfam family "Bacterial small subunit ribosomal RNA", at positions 29 to 412 of the family's 1533-position model. The record is from RNAcentral.
AACGAACGCUGGCGGCGUGGAUAAGACAUGCAAGUCGAACGAGGUUACUCUUGGUAGCAAUACCGAGAGUGACUUAGUGGCGAACGGGUGCGUAACACGUGGGCAAUCUGCCUUAAAGUGGGGGAUAGCUCGGCGAAAGCCGAAUUAAUACCGCAUGUGAUCAGCCAAGACAUCUUGGCGACAUCAAAGCCGGGGCAACCUGGCGCUUUUUGAGGAGCCCGCGGCCAUCAGCUAGUUGGUGAGGUAACGGCCCACCAAGGCUUUGACGGGUAGCUGGUCUGAGAGGACGACCAGUCACACUGGAACUGAGACACGGUCCAGACACCUACGGGUGGCAGCAGUCGAGAAUUUUUCCCAAUGGGGCGAACCCUGAAGGAGCGACGCCGCGUGGAGGAUGAA